Non-coding RNA from Lolium perenne, 1370 nucleotides. Lineage: Eukaryota; Viridiplantae; Streptophyta; Magnoliopsida; Poales; Poaceae. The record is from RefSeq and is a predicted model, not a curated record.
CCUCUUCUUUUGCAAUGCACCUAUUUUGUUUUCCUUGUGAUGGUUCUCAAAUGGAUGAGCCCAUUAGGGUUUACAAGUAUUUGAAAACCAAAUAUUUUAAAUCUCUUUUAGUUUCUCUAUGUCCCUCUCUUAUUCAUUUUCUUGUAUUAUAUCUCAACAUACCAUAGUUGGUCUACAAGUUGAUCUCUUCUCUGAUUUCAAAUAUUCAAAUACCUCAAACCUUUCCUCUCCAUCUUCUCAAAUUGUUUUGGUUUUGGUUUAAAAUUAAAAUCAGUAAAAGAGAGAAAAACCUAAACUAACCCAAGCCUAGCUAACCCUUUAGCCCAACUCCUUCUCACCACCGUGGCCCAAUUUUUUUUUAAGCAACACCCGGCCACCACACAAGCUUCAGCCCAAAAUAGCAUGCAAGCCAACCACCCUCUCCCUUUACACGUAAGACCACCAUGGCUAUAUCUGGUAUUGGAGAUCCCUGCAGCUCCACGUCGCCCCCCUCUCACCAUCUACCGGCCACCAACCUUCCCUCUUAAGCAACAUCAGCAAACCCUACCCCUCUCCUCCUUCCUCCACCACUUGAGCCGCCGCCGCCACCAUCCGCCGUCAACACUUCGGCCUCCAAACAUCUGCAGCAACUCCACGCCACCGGGCCUCACACCAGCACCAUGGCCACCACCUAAGCACGGUGAGGCACCCCGGCAGCCUCCUCCUUCCCCUGGACGCCUUCAAAUCGUCAAGGACUGCACCGCCGGCAACCUUCAUCCUCAGCUCACCCAGGCCACCUCCUUCUCCACCUCGCCGGCAACCUCCACCUCUCCUCCACCUCAUCACCAAGGGCACCAAGACAUCGACACCGAGCAGUUCGGGAGGAGUUCCUCUACAUCACCCCUUAAGAUCGCGUUCGUGUUUCCUCUUCCGAUUUGACAGGCGAGCCCACCCCUUCACCUAUUUUACUUUUUCAUGCUCUUUUGAUCUAUUGCUAUCCCUAUGUUGCGAUUCUGUUGUGUCACGUGUCCUAUUCCACCUGUUACCCUAUAUUACCGAAUUACACCUCCUCGCCCUACCCAUUGUUUGUUGUUUGCCAGCUUCGCGAGUCGUAGGCGAGUUUAGGGGUUUUGUUGAUAUCUCGAAAUGUUCGGGAUAUCUUGUUGGGUAGUUGUUAUUUCUUGCUAUAUCUAUUGUUGGAGAUAUUCAUGGCUCACCCUAAUGAUAAUAUUAAAAUGGAUAAGAAGAGGCAUCGGUGGGUCAACUGUAUAUUUGGUUUUACCAUGGCUCACUUGUGUCCAAUUUUAUAAUUAGGACGAGUUCUUGUUUUCUGAUCCAAGACUGAGCGCACUAACCACACGUGGGAGGUUUCACUGGGGCCCCCUUCGACC